RNAcentral lists this ribosomal RNA (497 nucleotides) under uncultured bacterium. RNAcentral's name for it is "partial 16S ribosomal RNA". It matches the Rfam family "Bacterial small subunit ribosomal RNA", at positions 28 to 507 of the family's 1533-position model. The record is from RNAcentral.
GAUGAACGCUGGCGGCGUGCCUAAUACAUGCAAGUCGAGCGAACAGACGAGGAGCUUGCUCCUCUGACGUUAGCGACGGACGGGUGAGUAACACGUGGAUAACCUACCUAUAAGACUGGGAUAACUUCGGGAAACCGGAGCUAAUACCGGAUAAUAUAUUGAACCGCAUGGUUCAAUAGUGAAAGACGGUUUUGCUGUCACUUAUAGAUGGAUCCGCGCCGCAUUAGCUAGUUGGUAAGGUAACGGCUUACCAAGGCAACGAUGCGUAGCCGACCUGAGAGGGUGAUCGGCCACACUGGAACUGAGACACGGUCCAGACUCCUACGGGAGGCAGCAGUAGGGAAUCUUCCGCAAUGGGCGAAAGCUUGACGGAGCAACGCCGCGUGAAUGAUGAAGGUCUUCGGAUCGUAAAACUCUGUUAUUAGGGAAGAACAAAUGUGUAAGUAACUAUGCACGUCUUGACGGUACCUAAUCAGAAAGCCACGGCUAACUACGUG